ACAAACCAAGUGGUUGUCUGAUAAUAAGGAAUAUCCAUCUUUAACCCUCUGGUUUCCAUCUUAUACAAAGGAAAAUGUUAUUACACAAGAAUGUGCACACAAGAUACAAUACAUAAAAAUUUUGAACUGUCGAAUAAGACAGACCCACACGUGAAUCCAUGUAGAUCCCACUGAUCCAAAGGUCCACAAUUUUCACGUACUGAAUUCGUACACUAACCAUAAGUACAGAAUAAUUGUGCUGACUAGCAUGCACUCUUACAGUAAUACAGAUGCUUUCAUUUCCUGCAAGAUCCUUUCUAACUUGAGCAUUCUCAGCUCCUCCAUACUCAUUUUAUGCAUGUUUCUUCAUCUCCACCAUAUAACCAUUUCUUAAAAGAUCCUUUUGGAAAGAAAUUUGGAAAAGAGCAUAUAAUUUCAAGAGCUAGUGUCUAAAUCUACAUUUCAAUUUUCAGACCAUUGACAAAUAGCUUUUUCGUAAAAGAAACAAUAGAUUUCAAGCAUACAGAAUCCAUGUAUGGUUAUUUCUACUUCAAUGAUCAAUCCAAAUAUGAAAAGUGAAAACAUAUCACCAAAAUAAAACAUCUUUCAAGGCAACAAUUAUAUUGUUAAAAAAAAAAAAUCCAACUCCAAGGAUGAGUUUUAGCACAAGCACCCUUGUGAUAAUUGCUUCAAAUUGCCAGGAGAGGCAGAGAACAUAUUCAUUAAAUCAAUGCCUUGCAGUAAACUGUCAUUUCUAAUUUCCUAAGGUAUUCUAAGAACACUAUCAGCAAUAUACACAGAUCUGCUGUUGAAAGAAAAUUGAUGGAAUCAAGGGUGGAACCUAUUGUUGGAUGUAUGUUCUUCAACCACAUCUCAAGUAGCAACCAGGGCAAGACCACCACAUGACAUAACCUUAUGUAUGACCUUUUGUACCCGUGGGUGACUGGACCCGAGUCAUAUAAGAGCCUGCAAGAAGUUCACUCACAGAUAAAGAGAAUUGGCAAACAUAAUACCUCGGCGCAAGCUUUCACUCGCUGCUGCAAAUUUUUUCUCCAAACUGACUUCCCCCACAGCUUGAGCAGCCGCACACAGCUGGUUCAAGAAUUCAUCUAGUCGUCUAGCACUCCUUAUGAUACUUCCCUCAAAGAUAUCAGUCAUUUGUAUAACGUCUGCAAAACUCGCCCCCUUUGACCAACAGUAAAUCACAUCCAUCAAGUAUGGUCUCACUGUUGAUUCCACGUACUCAUCCACAUUUAAGUCCAAUUUACAUUCAUAUUGAAUCUGCAAUCACAAAAAGGAAUUUCUGACAAUUCUUAUGCAUAACAUGAACAAGAAAUCAAGCAAAAGGAACAAACUUCUGCUAUUUUUCUUGCACUCUCUUGGAGUUGUUGUAAUGGCUUGGCAAGCUCUGAUCUCAAAUGUAUUUGUUCACUAGAUUUAUCUACAGGAAUGAAACAACUUGCAAGAGCUGCAACUUGGUGAUGAUCAAGGUCAUUGAAGGUACCUGAUGAAAAAAAAUUAAGACCCAAGUCAUUAUAGAAGACAAAACUAUCCUAACCAAGUUGGCCAAGUUGUAUGACCCAGCCUCUUCAAGAUAAUAUAGUGUUACCUCGUUCAAAUACAAUGUUUUAGGACAUUCAAUGUCCUUGAGCUUUUACAGCAGAUCAGGAAAUAUGUAUGAUUAACUCGUUCCUUUUCUAGCGCUACUUGGUACAUUUCCAGCUACUAGAUUCACACUUUAAAUUUCUUUUCAAGUGCAUUUAUUUUACUUAAUGAAAUUUAAAUAAAAACAAAUAGUGCUGGAUCAAAGCUCAAGCCAGCAGGCCCAGCACACAUUUUAUAAGCCCAAUCCCUGAUCAGAUCAACCUUGAACUUAUGCACUUAAGCAAACAGCAACCAGGCCAGACAAUCCUAGCCUGAAGUGAAACAAAACAAGAUUAUGCAGAGCAUCAAAUAAUCAUAAGAUAGUGGUCAUCAAUUCACCAUUGAACAUCAGUUCAGUAACAAGUAGUUCAUCUCCUGUGUCUAUCAAGCAGGCUGCCCUGCCCUUCAGCUGGACAACACCAUCAGCAUCUAUAUGGCCAAGCCUUUUCAAGACUCGUGAACGGUUUUUUAAUUCAUCACGAAACUUUUGGAGCUGAGAAUCCCGCAUUUUCGACUUGAGCUGUUGAAUUUCGUGAUUCACCUCAGCCUUCCUUUCAAAAUUUCUGAUCUGAUUCACAUCUUGAGACUUGUGCAGUGGAUGAGCACGUAACUUCCUUUCCAGUUCCUCAAUUUGGUUGACCAAAUCAACAAUUUCAGGAUCCUCAAUUUUCAUGUCCUUUACAGGAUUAAGUUUUGGAAGACCAUCAGGAAAUCGAGUUCCCAACUCCUGCACUGCCAGCAGUAUACUUUGUCUUGCUUCCAGCGGUCGGAGGUCAGAAGGGACAGAUAUUCUGACUUUACUUAAAGCAGAAAUCAGAGGCAACUGAACAGGGACCACAUGCAUCUCACCCUUUUCUCCAGGCUGCGGUGGACAAGGUCUUGGCCGUGAACCACUCUCACUAGAUCCAGGUGAGCAAUGAAGUAAAGUAUCCACUAUAUAACCAGCACCCCGUGAUGGCAACGUGCCUAACCCAGUAGCAGGUUUUUUAACAACAUUCACCACAACUCCCCAACCCCAAUCAGUUCCACCUUCUCUUACCUUGAUCAGUCGACCAGUGCAAAGAUAAUAAAGAACUCUUUCAGGCCUAGUUAUUUCUGCCAUCAUCUUCUUCUCGAGUUGAGCCAUCUCAAGUUUUAACUUGUGAUAUUCAGCCACUUCAGCCUCUCCUGAAGCAUCAAGCACAGCAGCCUCCUCCUCCAGUUUUGAAACCUUCUUCCCUAUACCAGGUAAAGCCUUCUCGUACUGAAAUUGGUGGAAUGAAUUUUUUAUCACAUGCUCAGCAGUGAACUGGCCUUCAGCACGCCUCAUUAAAUUUAAAAUUGAAUAGUAGCUCAGUCUGAAUGUACUAACUAGAGGAGCUGGUUUACCCAAAACCAUGUCCUUCAGUGUAUUCAUCUCCAUCCGUUCAUCAACCAUUAUUAUACAAAUACCGCGCUCAUCUUUGCCACGACGUCCAGCCCUUCCACUCAUCUGGAUAUACUCCCCAGAUCCAAUGUAGCGAUGGCUAUCACCAUCCCACUUCUUAACAGCUGUAAAAACAACAGUCUUUGCAGGCAUGUUUAAACCCAUGGCAAAUGUCUCUGUGGCAAAAAGGGCCUUUACAAGGCCUUCCUGGAAAAGAAGCUCUACAAGUUCCUUGAUGACAGGAAGAAGGCCAGAAUGAUGGACAGCAAUGCCUCGCUGAAGUAGCGGUAACAUUAACUCAAUAGCAGGCAAGUUUCUGUCUUCCUCAUUCAAGCAAAGAAUCGCAUUACUAAAUACUUGCUCCACAACAUCCUUUUCCUCUUGGGUAUUAAAAUCAAGUUUAGACAUAGACAUUGCAUGUUGUUCACACUCUCUUCUACUGAAGCUGAAAACUAUAACUGGUUGAAAUUUCCGUUCCAUGAUCAUCUUCACAAUCUUGUAUAUGUCAGAACCACCAGAAGCAUUCCCAGCUUUUGCAAUUCUUCCACCCCCUUUACCAUUUGAACUCUUGUUCCCAUCACCAACUUUCUGUUUCGUGAAGGUAUCUUGAAGUUUCAUAAAAUUGUCUUCCUUGAACUGCUCAUUCUCAUCAACCACAAGAUACAACCCAGCACCACCCAUGGGAAAAACAUAAUGCUGCAAAGGAGUUGGUCGAAAAUCUGUGUAUACAACGUGACAUGGCUGCUUGUGCAAAUGACAAAUCCACUCUGCAAAUUCUGUGGCAUUUGACAUUGUUGCAGAAAGGAAAACCAUCUUUAUUUCUGGUGGCAAAAAUAUAAUACUCUCUUCCCAGACAACACCUCUUUCACGAUCCUUCAUAUAAUGAAUUUCAUCAAAGAUGACCCAUGCAACUUCCUUCAAGAUCUCUGAUCCCCUAAAAAGCAUUCCCCUAAGAAUCUCUGUUGUCAUCACCAGACAACUGGCAUUAGGUGAGAGAGUUACAUCACCUGUCAUCAACCCAACAUCUUGAAACUCCUGAUGCAAUUCCCUAUACUUUUGGUUACUCAAAGCUUUUAACGGUGAUGUAUAUAUAACUCUCUGCUUAUCUCUAAAGGCCAUAGCAAUUGCAUACUCAGCCACUGCUGUCUUCCCUGCAGAUGUAUGAGCAGAAACAAGAACUGACUCAUUCCUUUCCAAACAUGCCACUGAUACUUUCUGAAACGGGUCAAGUUCAAACUUGUAGGUCUUCGCCAUCUCGCCAUUGAAUUCAGGAUUUGAGAGAGUCCCAUGAACUUUUUCAUCUUUGGUUGAUGUGUAACCACUAGGAACAGCAACCUCAUGCACACAAGUGCGUGUCAAAUUUCUACGCUUUAGGGCAGAUUCUUGGUGAGGGGUAUCUCCAACCUCAACUUCCUCAGGUGUUUUCCGUUUUCCUGGGAUUGGUGACUCCUCCAUUACUUGGCUUCAAGCUUAUGUUAACUCAAAUUUUUGCCUGCAUGGAGCGGCGACACGUUGCUUCAGUGAUUCGAGAAGGAUAAGCAGCGGCCACGCCUUGCUUCUAUGCAGCGACGAGGUUGAGCGGGCGGCGACGGGGACGGCAGUGAGUUGAAGAAAUUGGGAGAAAGAGAUAAGAGGGAGCUGAGGACGGGGGCCUGCCGUGAGCUUGAGAGAGGGAAUGACGGACGGCGGAACGAGAUAAGUCGGAGCCGC
Molecule: unclassified non-coding RNA, 4738 nt
Filed under: Hevea brasiliensis (rubber tree)
Lineage: Eukaryota; Viridiplantae; Streptophyta; Magnoliopsida; Malpighiales; Euphorbiaceae
Source: RNAcentral